GAGCCUGGAUCUAUUCUUCAUGGAGCCCACAAUCCUGAGUAUUUUAUUUUCCUUCCUAGGCAUGCAACCCGGAUGUUUGGUCAUCAAUGCCAGGAGACAAUGAGAUGAUGUGAUGAUGGAGAGGAAGCACUGGAGGUGCAAUGUUGGGGGAAGAAGAACAACACUGGGAGACUUGGUCCUCUGAAACGGAUUUUGGAAGAGAGAAGCUGAGUGAUGAAGGCAUGGAACCCUGAUGUUUGGUCAUCAAUGCCAGGAGACAAUGAGAUGAUGUGAUGAUGGAGAGGAAGCACUGGAAAGUGUUCAUUUUAUUUUCAUAUGUCUGGAGCUCAGGACACAAAAGGGGGCCUUGCCUUUUAAAUCUAACACUGAUAUCAAAUUGCAAGCAAAAGUAUCAUUCUAAUGGUGGAACACAUUUUGUGGAAUCAAGCAAAGUAGGAGGCAUGCAACCCGGAUGUUUGGUCAUCAAUGCCAGGAGACAAUGAGAUGAUGUGAUGAUGGAGAGGAAGCACUGGAGGUGCAAUGUUGGGGGAAGAAGAACAACACUGGGAGACUUGGUUC
This 558-nucleotide long non-coding RNA is filed under the name Fukomys damarensis (Damara mole-rat). Its description in RNAcentral is "lncRNA (ENSFDAG00000023754.1)". Lineage: Eukaryota; Metazoa; Chordata; Mammalia; Rodentia; Bathyergidae. The record is from RNAcentral.